GCCGGGUGCAGAGGCCCACGCCUGUCACCCCAGUGACUCGGGAGGCUGAGGCAGGAGGAUUGUGAGUUGGAGGCCGGCCUCUUCAACUUAGUGAAGCCCUCAUCAAGUUAGCGAGACCCUGUCUCUA
Molecule: small RNA, 127 nt
Filed under: Marmota monax (woodchuck)
Lineage: Eukaryota; Metazoa; Chordata; Mammalia; Rodentia; Sciuridae
Source: RNAcentral